AAUUUCCCCAGGGGGACAGAGGUCUCCACUAUCAACAUCAACUGUUUGGUAGAGGCUCUUCCUUUCCUCCUCUUUGUGGGUCUCCCGUUCUUCUCUGGGGGCGCCUCGCUCUUCCCUCUCGCGAGUGAGGCGGCUUCGGCGCUCGUGGACCUCCACCUCCAGGUCCCGUUGGCGCUCGAGCCUCCUCUCGCGCACCACGGGCUCUUCCCUGUCUCGUGCGCGGCAAAUCCUCGUCUCGUCCUCUGGUUCCUCGCACUCCCGGGAGCGGUCCCUCCGUUCUCCCUCGUCACGAGGCUGCAGUUCCCGGGACACGCGGUGGACCUUCACGUCCGCUUCUGCGGAGACCUCGGUGGUCUCCCGCGUCCUUUCGUACCUCACGGCUUCACGGCGUCUGCUGGCAUCGUCUUCGGGCUCCCGGGUGCGACACUCACGACCAUCGUGGGCCUCCCGUUCUUCUCUGGGGGCGCCUCGCUCUUCCCUCUCGCGAGUGAGGCGGCUUCGGCGCUCGUGGACCUCCACCUCCAGGUCCCGUUGGCGCUCGAGCCUCCUCUCGCGCACCACGGGCUCUUCCCUGUCUCGUGCGCGGCAAAUCCUCGUCUCGUCCUCUGGUUCCUCGCACUCCCGGGAGCGGUCCCUCCGUUCUCCCUCGUCACGAGGCUGCAGUUCCCGGGACACGCGGUGGACCUUCACGUCCGCUUCUGCGGAGACCUCGGUGGUCUCCCGCGUCCUUUCGUACCUCACGGCUUCACGGCGUCUGCUGGCAUCGUCUUCGGGCUCCCGGGUGCGACACUCACGACCAUCGUGGGCCUCCCGUUCUUCUCUGGGGGCGCCUCGCUCUUCCCUCUCGCGAGUGAGGCGGCUUCGGCGCUCGUGGACCUCCACCUCCAGGUCCCGUUGGCGCUCGAGCCUCCUCUCGCGCACCACGGGCUCUUCCCUGUCUCGUGCGCGGCAAAUCCUCGUCUCGUCCUCUGGUUCCUCGCACUCCCGGGAGCGGUCCCUCCGUUCUCCCUCGUCACGAGGCUGCAGUUCCCGGGACACGCGGUGGACCUUCACGUCCGCUUCUGCGGAGACCUCGGUGGUCUCCCGCGUCCUUUCGUACCUCACGGCUUCACGGCGUCUGCUGGCAUCGUCUUCGGGCUCCCGGGUGCGACACUCACGACCAUCGUGGGCCUCCCGUUCUUCUCUGGGGGCGCCUCGCUCUUCCCUCUCGCGAGUGAGGCGGCUUCGGCGCUCGUGGACCUCCACCUCCAGGUCCCGUUGGCGCUCGAGCCUCCUCUCGCGCACCACGGGCUCUUCCCUGUCUCGUGCGCGGCAAAUCCUCGUCUCGUCCUCUGGUUCCUCGCACUCCCGGGAGCGGUCCCUCCGUUCUCCCUCGUCACGAGGCUGCAGUUCCCGGGACACGCGGUGGACCUUCACGUCCGCUUCUGCGGAGACCUCGGUGGUCUCCCGCGUCCUUUCGUACCUCACGGCUUCACGGCGUCUGCUGGCAUCGUCUUCGGGCUCCCGGGUGCGACACUCACGACCAUCGUGGGCCUCCCGUUCUUCUCUGGGGGCGCCUCGCUCUUCCCUCUCGCGAGUGAGGCGGCUUCGGCGCUCGUGGACCUCCACCUCCAGGUCCCGUUGGCGCUCGAGCCUCCUCUCGCGCACCACGGGCUCUUCCCUGUCUCGUGCGCGGCAAAUCCUCGUCUCGUCCUCUGGUUCCUCGCACUCCCGGGAGCGGUCCCUCCGUUCUCCCUCGUCACGAGGCUGCAGUUCCCGGGACACGCGGUGGACCUUCACGUCCGCUUCUGCGGAGACCUCGGUGGUCUCCCGCGUCCUUUCGUACCUCACGGCUUCACGGCGUCUGCUGGCAUCGUCUUCGGGCUCCCGGGUGCGACACUCACGACCAUCGUGGGCCUCCCGUUCUUCUCUGGGGGCGCCUCGCUCUUCCCUCUCGCGAGUGAGGCGGCUUCGGCGCUCGUGGACCUCCACCUCCAGGUCCCGUUGGCGCUCGAGCCUCCUCUCGCGCACCACGGGCUCUUCCCUGUCUCGUGCGCGGCAAAUCCUCGUCUCGUCCUCUGGUUCCUCGCACUCCCGGGAGCGGUCCCUCCGUUCUCCCUCGUCACGAGGCUGCAGUUCCCGGGACACGCGGUGGACCUUCACGUCCGCUUCUGCGGAGACCUCGGUGGUCUCCCGCGUCCUUUCGUACCUCACGGCUUCACGGCGUCUGCUGGCAUCGUCUUCGGGCUCCCGGGUGCGACACUCACGACCAUCGUGGGCCUCCCGUUCUUCUCUGGGGGCGCCUCGCUCUUCCCUCUCGCGAGUGAGGCGGCUUCGGCGCUCGUGGACCUCCACCUCCAGGUCCCGUUGGCGCUCGAGCCUCCUCUCGCGCACCACGGGCUCUUCCCUGUCUCGUGCGCGGCAAAUCCUCGUCUCGUCCUCUGGUUCCUCGCACUCCCGGGAGCGGUCCCUCCGUUCUCCCUCGUCACGAGGCUGCAGUUCCCGGGACACGCGGUGGACCUUCACGUCCGCUUCUGCGGAGACCUCGGUGGUCUCCCGCGUCCUUUCGUACCUCACGGCUUCACGGCGUCUGCUGGCAUCGUCUUCGGGCUCCCGGGUGCGACACUCACGACCAUCGUGGGCCUCCCGUUCUUCUCUGGGGGCGCCUCGCUCUUCCCUCUCGCGAGUGAGGCGGCUUCGGCGCUCGUGGACCUCCACCUCCAGGUCCCGUUGGCGCUCGAGCCUCCUCUCGCGCACCACGGGCUCUUCCCUGUCUCGUGCGCGGCAAAUCCUCGUCUCGUCCUCUGGUUCCUCGCACUCCCGGGAGCGGUCCCUCCGUUCUCCCUCGUCACGAGGCUGCAGUUCCCGGGACACGCGGUGGACCUUCACGUCCGCUUCUGCGGAGACCUCGGUGGUCUCCCGCGUCCUUUCGUACCUCACGGCUUCACGGCGUCUGCUGGCAUCGUCUUCGGGCUCCCGGGUGCGACACUCACGACCAUCGUGGGCCUCCCGUUCUUCUCUGGGGGCGCCUCGCUCUUCCCUCUCGCGAGUGAGGCGGCUUCGGCGCUCGUGGACCUCCACCUCCAGGUCCCGUUGGCGCUCGAGCCUCCUCUCGCGCACCACGGGCUCUUCCCUGUCUCGUGCGCGGCAAAUCCUCGUCUCGUCCUCUGGUUCCUCGCACUCCCGGGAGCGGUCCCUCCGUUCUCCCUCGUCACGAGGCUGCAGUUCCCGGGACACGCGGUGGACCUUCACGUCCGCUUCUGCGGAGACCUCGGUGGUCUCCCGCGUCCUUUCGUACCUCACGGCUUCACGGCGUCUGCUGGCAUCGUCUUCGGGCUCCCGGGUGCGACACUCACGACCAUCGUGGGCCUCCCGUUCUUCUCUGGGGGCGCCUCGCUCUUCCCUCUCGCGAGUGAGGCGGCUUCGGCGCUCGUGGACCUCCACCUCCAGGUCCCGUUGGCGCUCGAGCCUCCUCUCGCGCACCACGGGCUCUUCCCUGUCUCGUGCGCGGCAAAUCCUCGUCUCGUCCUCUGGUUCCUCGCACUCCCGGGAGCGGUCCCUCCGUUCUCCCUCGUCACGAGGCUGCAGUUCCCGGGACACGCGGUGGACCUUCACGUCCGCUUCUGCGGAGACCUCGGUGGUCUCCCGCGUCCUUUCGUACCUCACGGCUUCACGGUUUCUAGUUCCAUCUCUUUCAUAUUCUUGUGGCAGACUACGUUCUGUUUCAUAUUCUUCUCUUUGGUGUCUCCUUGGCUGAUCCUUUCUCUUUGCAUCAUCUUGUUCUUCACACUUGUGCACCUGAUAGCUGCGUCUCUGAGUAUGUCUGUAUUCAUUCUCAUCUUCUUGUUGCUUUUCUUCUUCAUAGAUAGUUUCUUUUUGCCCACAUUUCUCAAAGUAUCUUUUGUCCAGUUCUAG
This 3894-nucleotide long non-coding RNA is filed under the name Anser cygnoides (Swan goose). RNAcentral's name for it is "lncRNA (ENSACDG00005007003.1)". Lineage: Eukaryota; Metazoa; Chordata; Aves; Anseriformes; Anatidae. The record is from RNAcentral.